GAUACCCUAUUAUUAUAAAUGUGAAAUAUAAGCUUAAAUUAUUAUGAGUUAAGAUCUUUAAAAUUAAAGAAUUUGGCGGUAUUUUAGUCUGUUCAGAGGAACCUGUUUUUUAAUUGAUAGUCCACGAUAAUUUCUACCUUAGCUUUAAAUUUACAUAUCGUCGUUAAUAAAAAUUUUAGGAGGAUUAUAAUUUUUGGAAUUUUAAAUUUGAGAUUAAUUCAGAUCAAGGUGUAGUUUAUGUUAAGGUUAAAAUGGGUUACAUUAUAUUUAUAUGUAGUUUUAGAUUUUAAAAUUUUAAAUAAAAUGGAUUUGAUAGUAAAUUUCUUUUUUAUGGAAAUUGAUUUAGCUCUAAAAUAUGCACACAUCGCC
This 369-nucleotide ribosomal RNA is filed under the name Mimopeus elongatus. RNAcentral describes it as "partial 12S ribosomal RNA". The record is from RNAcentral. Lineage: Eukaryota; Metazoa; Arthropoda; Insecta; Coleoptera; Tenebrionidae.